GUCGAGCGGAGAGAGGUAGCUUGCUACUGAUCUUAGCGGCGGACGGGUGAGUAAUGCUUAGGAAUCUGCCUAUUAGUGGGGGACAACAUUUCGAAAGGAAUGCUAAUACCGCAUACGUCCUACGGGAGAAAGCAGGGGAUCUUCGGACCUUGCGCUAAUAGAUGAGCCUAAGUCGGAUUAGCUAGUUGGUGGGGUAAAGGCCUACCAAGGCGACGAUCUGUAGCGGGUCUGAGAGGAUGAUCCGCCACACUGGGACUGAGACACGGCCCAGACUCCUACGGGAGGCAGCAGUGGGGAAUAUUGGACAAUGGGCGCAAGCCUGAUCCAGCCAUGCCGCGUGUGUGGAGAAGGCCUUAUGGUUGUAAAGCACUUUAAGCGAGGAGGAGGCUACUUUAGAUAAUACCUAGAGAUAGUGGACGUUACUCGCAGAAUAAGCACCGGCUAACUCUGUGCCAGCAGCCGCGGUAAUACAGAGGGUGCAAGCGUUAAUCGGAUUUACUGGGCGUAAAGCGCGCGUAGGCGGCUAAUUAAGUCAAAUGUGAAAUCCCCGAGCUUAACUUGGGAAUUGCAUUCGAUACUGGUUAGCUAGAGUGUGGGAGAGGAUGGUAGAAUUCCAGGUGUAGCGGUGAAAUGCGUAGAGAUCUGGAGGAAUACCGAUGGCGAAGGCAGCCAUCUGGCCUAACACUGACGCUGAGGUGCGAAAGCAUGG
This 709-nucleotide ribosomal RNA is filed under the name uncultured bacterium. RNAcentral describes it as "bacterial SSU rRNA". It matches the Rfam family "Bacterial small subunit ribosomal RNA", at positions 61 to 764 of the family's 1533-position model. The record is from RNAcentral.